RNAcentral lists this ribosomal RNA (271 nucleotides) under uncultured bacterium. RNAcentral describes it as "partial 16S ribosomal RNA". It matches the Rfam family "Bacterial small subunit ribosomal RNA", at positions 524 to 794 of the family's 1533-position model. The record is from RNAcentral.
UACGUAGGGUGCGAGCGUUAAUCGGAAUUACUGGGCGUAAAGCGUGCGCAGGCGGUUUUGUAAGACAGGCGUGAAAUCCCCGAGCUCAACUUGGGAAUGGCGCUUGUGACUGCAAGGCUAGAGUAUGUCAGAGGGGGGUAGAAUUCCACGUGUAGCAGUGAAAUGCGUAGAGAUGUGGAGGAAUACCGAUGGCGAAGGCAGCCCCCUGGGACGUCACUGACGCUCAUGCACGAAAGCGUGGGGAGCAAACAGGAUUAGAAACCCCGGUAGU